GGGGCUGUCGCUCAGUUGGUAGAGUGCUUGCCUACUGGGCAUGAAGUCCUGGGUUAGAUGCCCUAGUGCUGCCU
This 74-nucleotide transfer RNA is filed under the name Mus musculus (house mouse). Its description in RNAcentral is "tRNA-Ser". Lineage: Eukaryota; Metazoa; Chordata; Mammalia; Rodentia; Muridae. The record is from RNAcentral.